Molecule: non-coding RNA, 779 nt
Organism: Schizosaccharomyces pombe (fission yeast)
Lineage: Eukaryota; Fungi; Ascomycota; Schizosaccharomycetes; Schizosaccharomycetales; Schizosaccharomycetaceae
Source: the annotation of a GenBank genome assembly
AAGAUAGAAAAUGUACGCAUUGAGCAAAAAUAUGUGGGAGCAACAAAGAAGGAGGUGCACAUUCAGGAGUGGGAAAUGUAAAUUUGCAAAGAUUUGUGGGAUCUGACGUUAAAUCGCCGAUAGGUUUACCAAAUACGGAAGGAUUAUGAGCAAUUGCAUUAUGUUGAUGUGCAUUACGAUGAGGAAAUUUAAAAUAAUUCGUUAAAGAACGACGAUGCAAGCCAGUGGACUGACGUUUUGGAGAGUAAGUAAGAGAGGGGCGGCGGAGGAUAGAGGACCAAGAUCCCUUGGAAGGGCUUCGCUUUGGAGAAUCUUGAGAGGCAUUGAACUGUCUUUGAGAGCCAAAUGAAGAUGGUGGGUAUUGGAGAGGUUCCAACGUAUCUGAUGAGGAUAGUUGAUUCGUAGCCGACAAGGAGGGAGAAUCUUGUGAAGUUUGUAACUCGUGUGAAAGGGAGCUUAGAUUUAGGGAUGACCUCCCUAGAGGACCAUUGUUUGAAGGUUUAUCAAACCGAACUUCUGAUACUGCGCUUUCUUGAAGGUAAAAGCUAACAUGUUCUAGGGAGGACGGAGUAUCUCUCUCUUCCAAUAGUGUCGAGUGUAUCAGCUUAGUAGGGGAUCCACAUGGAGUGAAAUAUUUAUCAGUAUGAGCAUCUGGAGGUGAAGAACUUUUGGAUUCAUUAAAUACGCUAUCGUCGGAGUACAGAGAUUGUUUAACCUCUUUUAUCUGGGAAACGUACUCCUCGAGAUUAAUUUCGUGUAUGUUGUAAGUCUGAGCUAGC